AAAUAGCCCUUAAGUGUUUCUACGAACAAUUGUACGGAUUAUCGGUUCAAUUACGAUCCUUACAUUCUAACCUUAUAGAUUUAGUUAGACAUGGUAAAAUAAAAGUGCAUUUAAAUUUAAAUAAAAGUAGUGCGAGUGCGGAAAGUAAAUAAAAGUAGUGCGAGUGCGGAAAGUAAAUAAAAGUAGUGCGAGUGCGGAAAGUAAAUAAAGUAGUGCGAGUGCG
This 223-nucleotide long non-coding RNA is filed under the name Lathyrus oleraceus (garden pea). RNAcentral's name for it is "Pisum sativum (pea) long non-coding RNA (PSAT_LNC019881)". The record is from RNAcentral. Lineage: Eukaryota; Viridiplantae; Streptophyta; Magnoliopsida; Fabales; Fabaceae.